UCACACCCUUUUGCACUGGUUUAAAUUGGAACGAUACAGAAAAGAUUAGCAUGGCCCCUGUGCAAGGAUGACAUACAAAUUCGUGAAGCAUUCCAUAUUUAA
Molecule: small nuclear RNA, 102 nt
Filed under: Chelydra serpentina (North American snapping turtle)
Lineage: Eukaryota; Metazoa; Chordata; Testudines; Chelydridae
Source: RNAcentral